This 94-nucleotide transfer RNA is filed under the name Planctomycetota bacterium. Its description in RNAcentral is "tRNA-Sec". It matches the Rfam family "Selenocysteine transfer RNA". Lineage: Bacteria; Pseudomonadati; Planctomycetota. The record is from RNAcentral.
GGAGGUGACAGGGGCCUGGUGGCUCUCCUGGUCUUCAAAACCAGUGCGGUUCCUCACGGGGCCGGGUGGGUUCGAUUCCCAUUCGCCUCCGCCA